UACGUAGGGGCGAGCGUUGUCCGGAUUUACUGGGCGUAAAGGGUGAGUAGGCGGUUAUAUAUGUCAGGUGUAAAAGGCUAUGGCUUAACCAUGGUUAGCACUUGAAACUGUAUGACUUGAGUGCAGGAGAGGUAAGUGGAAUUCCUAGUGUAGCGGUGAAAUGCGUAGAUAUUAGGAGGAACACCAGUGGCGAAGGCGACUUACUGGACUGUAACUGACGCUGAGUCACGAAAGCGUGGGUAGCAAACAGGAUUAGAUACCCGGGUAGUCCCU
Molecule: ribosomal RNA, 273 nt
Filed under: uncultured prokaryote
Description: partial 16S ribosomal RNA
Rfam family: Bacterial small subunit ribosomal RNA
Source: RNAcentral